GCUGGGCAUGGUGGCGCGUGCCUGUAAUCCCAGCUACUCAGGAGGCUGAGGCAGGAGAAUUGCCUGAACCCAGGAGGCGAAGGUUGCGGUGAGCCGAGAUCCAUUGCACUCCAGCCUGGGUAACAAGAGCGAAACUCCAUCUCAAAAAAAAAAAAAGAGUCUUGCUCUGUGGCCCAGGCUGGAAUGCAAUGGUGUGGUCUCAGCUCACUGCAACCUCCACUUCUGGAGUUCAAUUGAUUCUCCUGCCUCA
This 250-nucleotide small RNA is filed under the name Saimiri boliviensis boliviensis (Bolivian squirrel monkey). RNAcentral's name for it is "Metazoan signal recognition particle RNA (ENSSBOG00000009789.1)". Lineage: Eukaryota; Metazoa; Chordata; Mammalia; Primates; Cebidae. The record is from RNAcentral.